GAAAUGAUGUUUUAAUGGUUGAACAAUUUUGAUUCUCAAACAAUAAGUUACAGGUUCGAAUCCUAUUCUUUUAA
This 74-nucleotide transfer RNA is filed under the name Schistosoma bovis. It matches the Rfam family "tRNA". Rfam says of the family: Transfer RNA (tRNA) molecules are approximately 80 nucleotides in length. Their secondary structure includes four short double-helical elements and three loops (D, anti-codon, and T loops). Further hydrogen bonds mediate the characteristic L-shaped molecular structure. tRNAs have two regions of fundamental functional importance: the anti-codon, which is responsible for specific mRNA codon recognition, and the 3' end, to which the tRNAs corresponding amino acid is attached (by aminoacyl-tRNA synthetases). tRNAs cope with the degeneracy of the genetic code in two manners: having more than one tRNA (with a specific anti-codon) for a particular amino acid; and 'wobble' base-pairing, i.e. permitting non-standard base-pairing at the 3rd anti-codon position. RNAcentral also lists the same sequence under 1 other name. The record is from Rfam by way of RNAcentral. Lineage: Eukaryota; Metazoa; Platyhelminthes; Trematoda; Strigeidida; Schistosomatidae.